CAUAGGUUAAUGAGGCGAACCGGGGGAACUGAAACAUCUAAGUACCCCGAGGAAAAGAAAUCAACCGAGAUUCCCCCAGUAGCGGCGAGCGAACGGGGAGGAGCCCAGAGCCUGAAUCAGUGUGUGUGUUAGUGGAAGCGUCUGGAAAGGCGCGCGAUACAGGGUGACAGCCCCGUACACAAAAAUGCACAUACUGUGAGCUCGAUGAGUAGGGCGGGACACGUGGUAUCCUGUCUGAAUAUGGGGGGACCAUCCUCCAAGGCUAAAUACUCCUGACUGACCGAUAGUGAACCAGUACCGUGAGGGAAAGGCGAAAAGAACCCCGGCGAGGGGAGUGAAAAAGAACCUGAAACCGUGUACGUACAAGCAGUGGGAGCCUCUUAAUGGGGUGACUGCGUACCUUUUGUAUAAUGGGUCAGCGACUUAUAUUCUGUAGCAAGGUUAACCGAAUAGGGGAGCCGAAGGGAAACCGAGUCUUAACUGGGCGUUAAGUU
Molecule: ribosomal RNA, 494 nt
Filed under: Escherichia coli
Lineage: Bacteria; Pseudomonadati; Pseudomonadota; Gammaproteobacteria; Enterobacterales; Enterobacteriaceae
Description: partial 23S ribosomal RNA
Rfam family: Bacterial large subunit ribosomal RNA
Source: RNAcentral